Molecule: long non-coding RNA, 498 nt
Organism: Cydia splendana
Lineage: Eukaryota; Metazoa; Arthropoda; Insecta; Lepidoptera; Tortricidae
Exons: 4
Source: RefSeq, a predicted model, not a curated record
AAAACACUUUACCCACGAGUAACUACAGCAGUAGAAUUUUAACCAUUUUCAUUUAGGUACGGCAAACCUCACUGUCUCCUCUACGCUGUCAACGGAAUGGCUGCCGGCAACUUGAGGAUUGAGGUUUUGUGCCUAUUGAUAGCAGUAGUCGCAGUUACAAAUGCAGAAAAUUACUUUCAUGAAUUUGGCAAUUUUUCAAGAGGAGAAGAAUCUUUCCAAAAAAGGGGAAGCAUUUACUCAUUCUCGUACAAGAAUUGGUUUGAGGUUCCUGAAAUGAAUAAUAGGUUGAUCACUGGUAUCAAAGUAAUCGUAAGCGGCCCCUCAACUCCAGACGUGUGGUAUAGCAGGCCGUGGGUCUACAUCUACUACUAUUUUCCGCAAAUAACCGUAAGCGAUUACGCUAUCAUCGCUAAAUCUGUGCCCUGUCGUCCUUGCAAGAGGACCCUGCCCAGUGAUGCUUCGCCAAAUGGUGAAGACUUCGUCGUUUAUGGAGAAUUA